This 757-nucleotide long non-coding RNA is filed under the name Mus musculus (house mouse). Its description in RNAcentral is "long non-coding RNA chr6:123559121-123559878". The record is from RNAcentral. Lineage: Eukaryota; Metazoa; Chordata; Mammalia; Rodentia; Muridae.
UUAUCUGCCUUUUCAGUCAUGAUUUUAGGAUUAUUUAUCCACUAUCGGGACACACCCAUUGUCAGAGCAAAUAACAGAAAUCUCAGCUAUCUCCUCCUAGUUUCUCUAAUGCUCUGUUUCUUUUGCUCAUUAAUAUUCAUUAGCCAACCUAGUACAGUCACUUGUGUCUUGAGACAAAUGAUUUUUGGGGUUGUAUUUUCUGUUGCUGUGUCUGCUGUCUUGGCAAAGACUUUUAUUGUAAUUGUGGCCUUCACAGCCAUCAAAGCAGGAAGCAUAUUACAAAUGUGGAUGGUGACAUGACUUUCAAAUGCUAUAGUCUGCUGUGGUUCCAUUAUUCAAGUGUGCAUCUGUGCAGUCUGGCUGGGAACAAAUCCCCCUUUCCCUGAUGUUGACAUGCACUCAGAGUUUGGGCAAAUCAUACUCUUUUGUAACGAGGGGUCCACCCUUGCCUUCUAUUGUGUUCUGGGGUACUUGGGCUUUCUGUUCAGUCUCAGCUUGCUUAUUGCUUUUCUGGCUAGAAGGUUACCUGACAGCUUCAAUGAGGCAAAAAUAAUCACAUUCAGCAUGCUGGUUUUCUGCACUGUGUGGAUUACUUUUGUACCCACUUACUUGAGCUCCAAAGGUAAAACCAUAGUGGCAGUGGAAAUUCUUUCAAUUCUGGCCUCCAGUUCUAUCUUACUGCUCUGCAUAUUUCUUCCCAAAUACUAUGUGAUCCUACUGAGGUCAGGUGGCUAUUCUAGAAAGAAGUUUUCUAAAU